GCCGAGAUAGCUCAACGGUAGAGCAACUGUUUUGUAAACAGUAGGUUCCGGGUUCAAAUCCCGGUCUCGGCUCC
Molecule: transfer RNA, 74 nt
Filed under: Microgenomates group bacterium ADurb.Bin219
Lineage: Bacteria
Description: tRNA-Thr
Rfam family: tRNA
About the family: Transfer RNA (tRNA) molecules are approximately 80 nucleotides in length.
Source: RNAcentral